Nothobranchius furzeri (turquoise killifish) is the source of this 14532-nucleotide non-coding RNA. The record is from RefSeq and is a predicted model, not a curated record. Lineage: Eukaryota; Metazoa; Chordata; Actinopteri; Cyprinodontiformes; Nothobranchiidae.
GGGGCCACCAGCAAACCUUGAGAUGUGUCACUUCAGACAAGAUAAGAGUUCUGAUGGGAGCUGCGCACCACAGCAGCACUCGGUCGUGCUUAUCUCCAGUUGUCUGCUGGUAAAUGGCCAAAUCACAGGGAUUUUUGUCUUCACCUACAUCAUCCUUAAGCCCGACGGGGCAACAACUCUCGGAUCAAAGGGUUUAGUCAUUAUACUUUUCGCUGACAGGAAGCUGGCUAUUUCAGCUUUGUUACACCGGCAGCAUCAUUAGGCAACAAUACUGAACGCAGAGAACAAUGUCAGAAAAUGAAGACCUGCACAAUAAUAUUUACACAGAAGUUGAAACAAUCUCAUUGUAUUUGUGGAAAUGGAACUUCUAAUGAUUGACUUGAACAAUUUUCUUUUGCAUUUCAAGGGUGAAAUGGCUAUUCUGAUAAUUAUUUCUAACACCAAUUAUUAUUUCAAAACAGAGAAAUGUAGACAUUAAUUAAAAUAGCUAGAACCCUUUCAUUAAAUAAAAGAAAACCCCCACAUGCUCACUGAGAUAACUUUAAACUGACAAAAGUAAUAAGUAGAAAGUGACUGAAAAUGAAGUGAAGUGAAGAUCAGAUUUUGCUUUUGAAUAAUGGCUCAACAAAGUAAUCAUAAAAAAUUCAACUGAAACAUACGUGGACAAAAACAGUGGUAUCCCUAAAACUGCCUGAAGCUACUUUGACCAUAAGGACAUGUUAGGCUAACAUACAUCCUGUAUUCAGUCAGUCUGUUUAAAGGCCAUGACUACCAAUAGUAAUUUGAUGACAGCUGGCAAAAAAGCUCUACAGUUGUUUAAAGUUGUCGCAGUAUCCAAGUUUUAUCACAGGAUGUAAUUUUUACUUCAUUUCUACACAAUGCACCUUUAAAACACAAGGAAUAAAGAGACAGUCACAGCGCUGUUUGGCAGCAGGGUGUGCACCACACUGAAAAUGGACCAUCAACGUCUCGGGAGAUUAGAAAGACAGUUAUUGUCACUGAAAGGAAAGGGUUGAAAGAUUGUGUUUAAGCAGUUUGAUGUUCUGGAGACAUAUAUUUCAGAAGGUAGGGAGACAAAUUCCAUGGAUGAGUCCAUAACACAAAAACCGAUGACACAUUACAGAUUCUAAAAAGACAUAUUGUAACCAAAGAGCCUAACUUUUAAAGAGGUUAGAGGUCAACUCCGAGGUUAAAGCUGUUGUCCAUGGUGUGACAUCAUCAAGGAGAGGAGGAGGAAGAGGAGGUGAUUUAGAAAUUUGAACAGCUGUAGCUCCCACCUCCUCUUCUGGAAGGAGCUGAAAGCCAUCCCUGCAGGGCAAGCGGGAUCAACAAAGAGAGCUUAUAAUAAAGGUCUGAUGCAGCCCAAGACUGAACCAGGAGUGGUCUAGGAUUCCGUUUCAUUCCCCUUCCUCUUCUUCCACAUCUAACUUGAGGUUUACAGCCCAACAUUAAUUCAGAGCAAAGUAGAGUUAGCCAAAAGUCUGUUGGUCCUUCACUAUAAGUUCCGGUUGCUAUCGACCACAUGCAGAUGAUUGCUAAGGUGCAGGACCAAAAGACAGAAGAAAUCUUUUAUCUCUACAGUGUGAUUUUUUUUGUAGCAUGCAUGUUGUAACCACUACUGGUCUGAAACCAGUUGACCCUAGGGGGUAAUAAAGAACCUCGAUCUUGAUCAAAAUGCAUGUUGACAAGCUGCAAAGCAUCUAGAACAAUGUCCUUUGGCCAGAUGAGACCAAACUGAAGCAUUUUGGCAAAUCACAUCAUAUCAAGCACACUGAGAACUGCAAACUGGUGGCGCAUCAGUGUUAUACUGAGAGGGUCGUAAUGAAAAAGAACUUCCUCCAAAUUCUUUAACAUCACUUGAAAUAAGCAGCGAGAUGGUGGAACAUUGGACACAGUUAAGAGUUCCAACAGGGCAAUGGUCACAGGAUGAUGACCUCAAACACACAUCAGAACAGAUUACAUUAGCUUCUGAAAUAUAAAUAUAAAAAUAACAGCAAACAGGAACAUUUGGUCAGGGUCAAACUUGCUAAGAAACAUGUAACCAAAUAGUGGUGACAAUGUAUGAGAAUUCCACCUUAGAAAAUUGCUAAAAGUUCACAAUUUAAUAUACUGUAUAAAUGGUAAAUGGCCUGUAUUUGUAUAAAGUCUUCUUAGGAUUAUACAACCCCACAAGGCACUUUACAACACAAUCAGUCAUCCACCCAUUUAAUACAUUUACACGCUGGUGGGGAUGAGCUACAAUGUAGUUACAGCUGCCCUGGGGCGUACUGACAGAGAUGAGGCCUUCUGAACACUGGCAACACCGGACCCUCCAACCACCAGGAGGAAAGGUUGGUUAAAUAGCUCAGAAGGUAGAGCGGGUUGUCCAGUUUUUAAUAUAUAUAUUGUCAGGCAGAGUGGUGGUAGCAGCAUGGUGUGGUACUGGUUCAUUGAAAAAGGAGGAGAGCUACCUCCCAAUUUAUAAAGUUCAUCUGAAAUCAUCAGCUGAAUGGUUCAAAGUUGGACACAUGGCUAUUCCAACAGGACAAGGACUCCAAAUAGUCCUGGUUUCCAAUUAGUAAAAGUAAACCAACAAUACGUUUCUACCUCAACCUCAGCCCCACUAUAACCCCAAAAUUCCACUAUCUCCGCUCCGCCCCCGCUUUCUGCCGCUGCUCGCUUCCGAACUCAAAUUAUACUAUACCCGCUCUACAACGGCUCCACUCCGGUGCAGAGACCUGAGGUGCGCAAAGAGACAUGCGUGGGAUUUUCGAGACCUCGCGAUACAGUCUGAGGAAUAAAUGCGGAAGUUAGAUCCAAACAAAUCAUUGUGUGGAAGAAGCAUCGAAAAGAACUUGUAGGAGCCAUAUGUGUUGUUUUCAUUUUCUUUCUGCAUAACUGAGAGGAGGCUUGGCAUCAUUUGAUUGGUAAAUUGAUUGUGGAAGGACCAGCCUACUUAAGCCAACGCAGAUUAGACUCGUGGUGGCUGUGACGGGACAAGCAGUUUUUACUGUGUGGCGAGGACUGUGGCUGUGUGUAACGGACUCUGCGGACUGUCAUGGGGCAAGUAACGUAUUCAUUGAAAACCACCUUAACUGCAGUGAAUGGAUCAUGGACUUUGUGGAAGAAGACAAAUUAAGAAACAUCAUCAGAAAUAAACACAAGCUGCAAUUCUUUUAAACACACUUAAAGACUACCAACCGUCUCAGUAACCAGUAGUGCCAAUGUAUAGGGCAUUGGUAUUAUAGGGUAUUAUAGUAUAGGGCAUUACAGAACUGUUUAAUCUGCCUAUCAUUUGUGUUAAGAUAUCAGCAGUGUUUGGAUCAACAAUGGGUGAGUACUUUGAUAGUAGAAACUGUAUUUAUGCCUUAUAUUUGUGCAUUUAAAGUUCAACCGCCAAAAAAGUAGUUAAACCUGUGCAUAUGAAACAAAAAAACGCUUUUUGUUUAUCAAUUUAUUGUGAAAUAACGGAAGUUAUGCUUGCUCCCUUUCCUGUUGGGCGGUUGUGAUUUCUGUCCACUAACUGCGGAGGUGCUCCGGUGUCUGGAAAAAAUAGAAUUGAUCCUGUUUUUGCCGGAUGGCGGAACGACGGGCGGUGCACUGCGCCGCACGGCCGCAGUAGUGGAACAGCUCUGACUGACUACAAAGGGACCGUUUUUGCUGCGGAGUUCGUGCCGGAGCGGAGCGGAGAUAGUGGAAUUUUGGGGUAAGAAGAGACCAUACCCCCAAAAAACCCAGUCAAUUCAUUAAAUCAAACUAUUUCAAAGUCUCCACAUGAAUUAUGCAUUCAUGUCUACAAUAAUGGUAUGUAAACAGACUGCAACUAAAACUCCAGUGGAUUAAACUGAAGGAGAAAACUACCUAAAAAUGAAAACUACAAAAUAAAUGUUUAAAAAAGUAUUCAGCUGACAUGAAAACAGUUGAAAAGUUAUGAAUGAUAGCUUCUAGGCUCACAGAUUUCUAAGAAUGCACAUAAACAUGUCUGAGUGUUUUCUCUCUCCACUCCUGCGGGGUGGUGGUGGGUUUGAGUUUGCAGGGUAAUUAGUUAAGUUGAAUCCACCCUCUAAUUUAGCCCCAGCCUAUCCCACUCUCCUCAGCAGUAAAGUUUACAUUUGGUAAUGAGUCAUGAGUCUUGUGCUAUUAAAAGAAGGUUUUGCUGACAUCUCUAUAAGCCUAAGAUAAGCUGAGCCUAAAUCAAGAAAAAUGCAAACCAAGCACUUUUCAGUCCAAGGAAAUCUUAGCAGGAGAAGCUUUCAGUGGAAGAUAACAGCAGGUGUAUUUGCCUUUGCAUUACCCAUGAAACACUGUGGCAUUUCUUACAGUCAAAUGACUUUUAGUCAGAGUCUUGUGAAAAAUUAUUGGAUCAGGGUGCUAUCAUGUUGAUGCUCUGAGCAAAAGACAGAAAAAUGUUUAAUAAUCAAACUCAUUAAAUGACAAAUUUGCUCAAGCUGGUUAGUUUUUCUGCUUUUAAUGGACCCCACAAGAAGUUAACUCAAAGUUAAAAGUGAAUGUUACCAUUUUUUCCCAACUAUUGGUAAUAAAUAUACUCUAGAGAUAAAAGUCCACCAGAAAAUCUUGUAUCCUUCAGAAGAAAAUCCAUAAUUCGUUGCUCUCAGAUGUUACUUUCUCCACAGAUUGAACACACUUUAUAAAUUGACCUGACACUGCCUGACUUUAUCGACUAGCAGUACAUGUGCUGCAGAGAGGUGAGGCCCAGGGUCCUGCAGUGACAUUCAGCAUCUUCUGGUGACUACGAUUAUUUAUCUUUGUCACAUCUUUUUCUUGUAAACAGGCAAUUAAUGGGGAAGGCACAAAGUUGACUCAGUACAGUGAUUCAGGGAGGUGUGAGUGCAAGAUGAAGAGUAUUUGUCUCCACCGUUAGUCACCAAUGUUAAAUACGCUGUGAAAAGCAGUUAUAUGAGUGGUGUCUAAAGGCUUGCCUCACCAUUAAAAUUAUUUAUUCAUUUAGUUUUGUUUAAGGAGUUGUUUCAUUGUGUAUAAUUUUCUUAGGAAGCAGCCAUUUUUCUGUUUUAUUGUUGUUUUGGCCUGUGUCUGUGCCUGUUAGCAAAAAUAACCUGGACCAGUCUUUAAUUAAAGUAUUUAUUGGAUAAACACUAACUUUCAGAGCCAAUCCGGUUCAAGAUGGCUUCCACAGCUGAUCACCAUUAGAAAACAGAAAUUGCUAUAUAUUUACAGAUAUUGGGCUAAUAUCUAAUGUGUCAAUAGUUGAUUGGAAAAACAAAAUAUUAUGAUAAUUUAAAAAAAAUCAAAAAUUGCAUAUUAUUUGACGGUGCCUUUUAAAGCCAGCUAACAAAACAUGCCAUAGAUCAAUUGAAAUACUGUAAAAUCAUUCAUAUGGAGACAGAAAGAAUCAGACAUUUAAAACUGAUUAUGGAUUCUAAAGGCAGACAUGGAGGAACAGGAGUGAUGUGUUCUCUGAAUGAAGUAAGAGUGAUGACCCGUGCUGCGGCAAUCUGAAGGAGCUGCAGUAAGUGAAGAGAUGUGUGAGGGAGACUGAAGAGAAGAAAGUUCCAGUAGUCCAUUUGAGAGGAGACGAUGCUGCGGCCAAGGAUGUGUUGAGGGUUUGCCCUCAUGGGAAAAUUACUAUGCAGUAAUUUCUCCAAAAGACUGUGCCAAAAUUGCCCUGGAGCAUCUGCCCUCAUGAGGAAAUUACUAUGCAGUAAUUUCUCCAAAAGACUGUCAUCUGCGCUCUGAAGAGCAUAUUUAAACAUCAGCACCAGCUACAACUUCAUUUCCCAGGAUUCCCUGCUCCCGGAAGCGGCGCCGAAUAUCCAAAAACAAGUAAUGCGCAUGUGCGGGAGCCACACAGUUUCAGCCCGACAGCUGGAAGCUAUAAAUUCCAGCGAAACAAAACUUAAAACCGUUCUUUUGUUCCAGUUCGAAUGGCGCGAGGACACGUUUGUUGCUACAGCUCCGGACUCAGGCACGAGGCCUGGCUGGAAAACAGUGGAAAACCAUCAAAUCAACGGAGAAACCAUCUGACCUGCAGCGCGAACACAAAAGGGACGCCUUGGGGAUCGCUCACGCAAGCUUUAGUUUUUUCCUCUAUUUCUCUUUCUUCCGCUCCUCUUAAUAUAAUUCAAAAUAAGCAGUCACACCGCGCGACUUGCUUCAAAAUAGAAACGGUCUCUCUUCCGUACCAAAAACGCCAUCGGAUCGUUUUGAGAGUAAGUCGUUUUGUUCAAUCAUUGUUUAUAUCUUAGUUUAUGCUGUGGCCAGGCUGACAAACUAUCAGAUAUUCAUUCAUGAUUGAUCUUUUAUGUUGUUUAUUAAUUUUUUUAACCUUUGAAGUGUUUAAGUUACUGUGAUUGAGUCUAAAGUGCAAGCUAAUCCCUUUUGUGUCUGUAUCUGAGAAGGAAAGUCACACACACACACACACCGGUUCUCAGUGUGGUGGGGAGAGAGAGAGGAAAAAAAGUCACAGCUCACACAUACCUUCAGCAUCACCUCACUGCUGAAAGUCCACACACACACACACACACACACACACACACACACACACACACACACACACACACACACACACACACACACUUGUUUUUAGUGUUUGGGGGGACUCAAGCUAAAACACACAUCCAUUGGGUCAGAUUAUUUUACAGUCUCAUUAUUCCAUUGUUGAUCCAUUGUUAUUUGUUUGAUAAAAUAAGUUGGUUGAUAUUGAUUGGCUAAACACUUCAGAAGGAGCUGAAGUGAUUAUUAGUUAAUAAAUGUUAUUCAAUUAAGUUUUGUCUUCAAGUGGAUUUGUUUGUGAUAUAAAAUUCAACUGCUCGUUAAGAUUCACGGAACGUUCAGACAGAAUUGAUAAGAGGUUUGGAUUCAUUUCCCCUGUUAGAAGGGGUGGUGCCCCGUGGAUAUCUCUGGAUAUCCUAAUUAAUUAAUAAAUCUGUAAAUAUUUCCAUAUUUACAAAUUUAUUGAAGAAUCCAAAAAGUAAGUAAAAGCUUACAAAUUAUUCGUUGACCAAUAUCCCAGCAGAUGGCAGCAGUGUGGGGGGUGAGAAAGGGGCGGGGUCGAGUAAUCUUGCAUGGAAGAAAGUAUGUAGACAGGGUAGGAGUUUAAGUACACCCAGACUCAUGAAGGGUGAUCAAUGUUAAUGGACACAUUGUGUGAUUUGUGUUAAGUGGAGGUCUUUCUUAUAAGGAGAAUUCCAAUUUUGUUACAGUUUUGUUUGAAAAAAGUGGACGAGAAUUAUGAUAUAUAGAACAUUUGCAUAACUGUGAAAAUGUAUGCUGUAUUUCUGAAAAAUUUAGCCAAGUGGAAACAUGUAGAUGAUAAAUAGAUGAGACAGUAGAAUAGAGCCUUGGGGUACACCAGCAGAGAGAAGCAAACAAACCAGGAACAGGAUAACUAGACUAAAGAAAUAUUUCACAUUGUCUAUAAUGUUUUACUUGCUUAAUUUUUGAUAUUUUGAUUUCUUGUUUUCAAUACAGUAUUUGAUCAUUUUACAUGUCAGUGGCUCAAGUAUGUUUGUUUAAUUAAAUGUACAGGGUCAUUGUUCAUGCAAGUACAGUAAAGACAUUUCUUAUUAGUUCCACCCUUUUUGCACUCACCAAUAGUCUCACAGUUGAAAUUGGUGUUUGAUUCAAUUACUAUUUAUUCACCUGUUAGGAUAUUUACAAUUAGAUAAAUAUUGAAUAGUAAAGCCUUCUUUUUGCAGAACUGUGCAAAACUUUGUUUUACACUUUGCAAUUAAAUUAUACUUUUGCCAGUAGAUUUAACUCUAUCUGUCUGUCUGACACCAAAAUAUCUCAUGAACUACAUGGUGGAUUUCAAAGAAACUAAGAUAGUCAACUGGACUUCCACAACUGAUUAACUUUUGCAGUUAACCAAAUUCAUUAUGGCCACUAGGAGUUUUUAACCAUAGCUAUUACAAAAAUACCUAUAACUCAGCCAAUAGUACAGUUUUUGAACUCCUACUAGAGUAUUUUAGCAUCAUUCCCAUCACAUACACUUAUUAUUAAACACCAGAUCUUUGAUUGAAACUUUCAAAGUGAACCUUAUCAUGUGUUAACAAUUAAUUGCAUAAACCACUGGGCAAAUUUUAAUGAAUUUAUCAGAGAGUUACCAUUGCAUAUACAUCUACAACUAGGUAAUUAUUUAAAUCAACCCAUUUCAAAAUGUCAGCCGCAGCUUAUAGGCCAUAGCAAAUUUCAAAAUGACUACAAUUUAUUCAUCUUUACAGUAGGGCUGCAAUGAUUCAUCGACGUUGUCGACAAAUAUCGACAAUAGAAAUAGUCCAAAAUGAAUUUCAUUGUCGACGUUGUCGCCAGACAUGUUGUUUCCGACCGAGUGAGGCAUCUCACUUCAUUACAAUCUGCCGAGAGUUGCACAUGCACAAUAGCUUCUCUGCUGAGCGUCAACAAACAGAAAUGGUGGCGUCCAACACAGCAGCUACGCGUACCAAAACACCUAAAGUUUGGGAGCAUUUUAGCCUGGAUUCUGCAAAUAAAAGGUUUACCUGCAUUAUUUGCAAAGCAGUCCUUGCGUAUCACGGCAGCACCUCGGUGAUGCAUGAACACUUAAAGAGAAAGCACAUCGGACAGUUGAAUGAAACAGUCUGACUCACCUCGGUAAGAUUUAAAUAACACGAAAGCCAAUAUGUUUUGUUUUGGAUAUACAUUGUACAUUUUUUAAGCAUAUUUUCGCUUUUAAAAAAGAGAAAUUUAAUGUUAUGCCUGACUGCGCCUGACAAAACUAUUUUUAUUUUAUUUAUGCAUUUAUGUCCGUACUGACUGAGCGCUGUGCCUAAUUGGUGUUAGACAGGGCAUUUUUAUUUACUGUUGGUAUGAAUUGGCCUAUCAGCAGCAAAGUUCAAUAAAAAUAUGCAUUUUCCAUUGAAGUACCCAUCUUUCUUGUGUUUAUUAUCAUUUUUCACAUAAUUAAAGCAAUCUCAUGCUAAAUUCAAGAAAAAAUUAAUAAUUAUCCAAUUAGUCGACUAAUCGUUUCAAUAGUCGGUGACUAAUCGACUAUUAAAAUAGUCGUUAGUUGCAGCCCUACUUUACAGACACUGAGCUGGAAUCUUAUGUGGUAGCAGUUUGGAGUCAUCUACAACAUAAAUUCUUAAUAUUAACAGAUUACAACUGAUCUAGCAACAAUGGCUGCUAACUUUGACUAAUUGAUUUCUGCCAUUCUCAGUUUUCUGUUUUUACUUCAGCAGGCAGCCAUUUGUAGUCCUAGCUGCCCAGACUCACACAGCAGGCAGACACGUUAGCUACCAGUUAAUGAGCAUGCGAUGUCUCCCUCCAGAGUCAGUAGAGAAACUAAAAUAAUGUUUAAUGAAGCAUGACUGGUAGAUUUGUCAGGAUGUACCAAAGAAACACAAACCCAAAUGGAUGCAAAUUGGCUUCCGAGGACUGGCACAGCCCCAAAAAAAUCUGCUACACCAAAUGCCGCUGGAUGUCUACAUGUUCUGUGUUAAUGCUCUCUAAGUUUACGACGUGUGUAGUUGUAGCACAUGGAUUCAGUGUUACUGAAGGAUGCGCUGGCUGAAUGUCACCACGUGGGAUAAAAGAUUAAACACAGUAUUACUGACAGCAGGGUAACUUUUCUGUUGAGUUCCUGCUGGUUCCAGCAGCACUGACUGAUCUGCAGAGAGGUGAGUGAUAAAAGGAUUUUCGAAGCUCAAUAGAGGAUCACAUCAUCCGCAGACAGUUCUGAUAAGGUUUUGAGAUCAAGUGUGGCUCUUUCAGUGGAAUGAUGCAACAGAAUCGCAGUUUACUCACCUGUGACUCUAUCACGCUGUUUAAUGCAAAAAUAUACUCAAUGUUUGGCUUUCAUGAUGUAAGAUUUGAUGCCUUUUAACUGAUUUAUUCGUAAUAAUGAUUUAAAAGGAAUAAAAAAUGCUUGAACUGCUUGUUUGUGUUAUACAUAGAACGUUGUGUCAGAGCGUUAAAACUCAGUGUGUGUGUAACACUGUUCAGGUCAAAGACAUUUUAAUAAAGGGACUUUCUUUUUCUCAGAGAGGAAUACAUUAAAAUCAUUUUGUUUUUAAAAAACAAACCAGCCCACAUCUUUUAGAGGGUGGAAGGAAAUUUAUUCAAAGCUUACAAAAAACAUUAGCAUUAAACAUUCAGUAACAUUAUUCCAAAUGUGAAUGUAGGCUAUAUUUAAAAAAAUCCAAUGCCUCUUCACUUAUUAUGCUUUCUUAAAAUGAUUUAAAAUACAGGUCUUUGAUUGCAUAAUGCAUAAGCCAAAGAAAUCCAAUCUCAACCCGUCUCUCCAUAACAGCUUCAGACUAAUCUCCACGUUUCCCUUAAUUUUUAAGAUCUUUGAAAAGGUUGUGAUUAAACAACUCACAAUAAAUAUGAACAUAACAUCUACUGAAGUUUUCAGUCAGGUUUUCGUAGAGCUCAUCCUACUGAAACAGCUCUUCUUAGGGUCUCUAAUGACCUUCUGACUCACAGUGAUGCAGGGGACUGUUCUGUUCUGGUCCUGCUGGACCUGACGGCAGCCUUUGACACUGUUGACCAUCACCUGCUAUUGGAGAGGCUGAGAGACUGGGUAGGCAGAACAAAAGUGCCCUCUAGUGGCUUUUAGAUGCAAACAUAAUCACAGUGUCGUGCCCGACAGAAUAAAAAUGUGAUCAUCUAUCUUUUGAAAUAAAGCUUUUAAAGGAGCAACUCUACAUUCAUUCUGCACACCUCUGAACGCCUCGUAGAGGUAUAAUUAUUUUUAAAUAGCUUUUUAUUCAAAUGUUCCACACUAACUUUCAAUGAGGAUUUUCUCACUUCUGGUGCCAGCUCCUGGUGGAUGAGGGUGGCCUGCAAUUUUUGCGACAUCUAUGUUGCCUUCCAAAAAUUCCCAGGAUUGUGGGAGGUAGGUUGUAACAGAAAAAUGGUGAGAUGUAUUUGUCUGACCAACUGUAAUUAUAAAACAUACUUUUUGUAUUUGGCAAAAAGGAUAAAUAAAUAAAUCAGCUAUAAACAUUACUAUUUGUGGUUGUUUGCAAUAAGAAGCAUGUAAAAUUUGGCAUAUUUCUCUCAUUGUGCAAACUAGCUAGGAGAGCAGAGUGAGGCAGGAGGUGGCUGAAGCCAAAACAUACAAACCUGUUGUUCCUCCAAGCCCAGCAGACCUAAUCUCACCCUGAACCUUGAAAACUUGAGAGCUCUGGUAAUCCUGUCCGACAGGCUGGAGGCUGCACUGGAAGUGCUACAGCUAGCUGAUGCAAAGUUUUUGGAAUAUUUUGUUCGUCAUUUUCCCUUUAAAUAUUUACAAAGACAGUUCUGCACAAGAAUUCCAAUGGGCUGGAUGGUAGGUUUCAUGAAAAUAUGGAAAAUAAAAGAUCUCAAACCUUGAAAUAAACAAUAACAGCAGCAGUGGCGGCUGGCCAGUAGAGGGCGAUAGGGUGCCGCCCUCCCAGUUUCCCCUGUGUUUUUAAUUUUUAUUUAAAAAAAUAAAUAAAUAAAAUUAACAAUAAUCACAUAUUCUAAGUUAAUUGUGUGUUUUGUAACAAAAAUAAAUCAUAAAUAUAUAUCUAUAUUGGUCUCUGCCGCUCUCUGCCGAGUGGUGGAGGCUGUGUGCUGUUUUUCAAUCGCCCAAACAAGACGGGACCAGUUGUCCAAUUGCUGACAAGAAAAUCAAAGGGUAGGAAUGGGAAUGUAUCCAAUCAGCGUCAACGUUGUUUCUGAACGUUUCAGAAGCAUGAUGGGCGAUAGAACUACCGCCAAGGCUUUCGUUGGUGUUCGGUAGAACUCGGAGAGUCUCGACUCCAGCACGUUUUUGGUCGUGACUCGUGACGGUCAUGACGCAGACGUAGACAUGGACGCCAGUGCGCCUACAACAUGGAUACCGGAUCUCAGCAGCCACUGAAUUCAGUUUGGUCUCUUCUCCAGUAUCCGUUCGAGAGGAGAACUAUGGUGGAAAAACUUAAUGUCAAAGAGCUUGGACCAGAUCAGCCCGGCAUAAAGAUAAGCCAGCAGGACAAGGAGAAGGAAGGUGGAUGUGGAACUUGUGUCUCAUUGGGGACUCCAUUCAUUCUCUGACUGAGGAAUGCAGCGCAUCAGUGCAGCAGCCAACAAAGAAACGGAGGACGUUUGGACAGGGAGAACAGCAGUUGGGUGCAGAGGUAAGCUGUACAUUACAUUUCUGUAAACAAGACAAUCAGAAUCAGAAAUCCUUGGUUGUCCCACAAACCGGGACAUUUGUUUAAUAACAUGUACAUUGUUUAAUGUGCAAUAACUGUAAAAACUAAUUUCAACACACAUACCUAUUAUACAUAUUUAAUCAUGUAAAUGUGUAUUUCAAGUAAAUUUGUACAUACAUCAAUCUGAUUCCAUUUUACUUGUUACACUUCUGCUGCAGCAAACACAUUUCCCAGCUUUUGGGACAAUAAAACAUUUCUGAUUCUCAAUGAGAUGUUUUUACAUUUGAAGUAAAAACAUCUCAUUGAGAACCAGAAAUGUUUUAUUGUCCCAAAAAGUGGGAAAUAUGACAUUUGUAAGAGGAUACUGAUGACAAUAUUUCCUAUGAAAGUGUUUCCACUUUCCAUAAGUCCUAACAGUGUAAAUUUCUGGCAUUUUGUCUAAGUAGUGUUUACUACCAUUACUGUAACAGUGACCUGCUCAUAAUUUUUCGUGUUCACUCAAAUGUUGAAAUUAAACAAAAUGUUUUUGCUACUUGCAUCUUUCAUUGCCUAUUUACCAUUUAUGGUCAUGUUAUUUUAUGUGCAAUUUAAUGCAGUAUUUUUCAACCUUGGUCCGCAAGGCAGCGUGCCAAUAGUCAGACACACCUGGAUUAAUCAGUUUGUCCAAUAAUGUAAGACAGGAAAUAAAAGAGCUGUGCUUAAUUCAGGAAAUAGUGAAGUUGUGCACAAAGCUCAGAAAGCACAAGUUUGUUUAAAAAAAAUAGCACAGCCCCACCAAAAAUAUUUUUCACCAGCCGCCACUGAACAGCAGUAAAUGUUUUGUUUAUCCACAGAUAUUAGCUAAUAGCUCAUCAUCAUGUUCCAAAUUUAGCUUUAUUUCUCUAAAAUGACUUAAGUCAAAGAGCCAUCUACAACAGGUAACCUUCAAAUAAAAAGAAUAUUUGAAUCAAUUUUCUGGUUAUCAAAAUGACUACAAAGACGCAAUUAGCAGUUUUGUGAUUGAUGUGCUAACACCCACAUGAAAAUCCUUCUCAGCCCUGAUUGAAAGCUAUUAGAACAUUAGCAGAAUGCGAUGAAAGACCUGUGUUGUAAUCUAAGAAUUUUAAUGGCCUUUUUAUGAGCAGAGUUCCUGAGAGGUUAGACGUGUCCUCUCCUCUGCAUGUGGAGCAGAAACUCCUUUAGAUUUUUUUCUUUUUUUUUUUUUUGCUUGCGAUUGCAGGAUUUCUUGCUGCUGUGUGGCUCUUUGGGGCUUCUUGGUUCUGACUUGUGAUUGUUACAUUUGAGCUUCAGGAUAUUUCUUUUACAUCAGCAGUUGUACAUAUGUGUGCAUGUUUUACUGCACCCUCAGCACACAACACAAACAAUACAUAUUCUAACCUUUGUGUUUAGUCACUGAUCUGGUCAUGAGACAUAGUCGUUCAGUUUUGCUGCCGGUUGAUUCUUGGAGAUAAUGGGAGGUCAUGGGUCAUCUGAGGAGGUGCGGGUGAAUAUUUGACUUGAGCUAAACUCUGACAUGUGGUCUUUGUAAGUAGAAAUGAUAACGUUUAGGAAGCAGAUUUGUGAAGCUUUAUGAUUUGUAACCGCAGCUGAAUUUUCAGCACACUUUACUCCUGUUUUAUAACCAUUCAGCAAUUUUUGUGAGCUAGAAAACUUAAGGAAUAGGUGCAAGAAAAAAGGCUGAUACCUCCUGAAAAUUCAACAAAUUUGAUGUUUAGUCACUGCAAAUCAUCUAGAAAGUUGCAGAGCUGGCAUCCAACAAAUUUAACCACUGUUUUUAUGGUCUUCGUUUAAAAGAAAUCUCACCUACACAGAAACACAAUUCACUUCUAGCCUUUAGUGAAAAAGAAUAUCCACUUUUUCUGAAAAGGAUUGAAACAUUUAACUUGUUCUUCACUUUGAUUAGAUAAAAAACUUCUAUAAUUGUUAAACUUGACUAUCGAUUCUUAUCCUUAUUCAAUGUUAAACGUGUUUCUGUUUAAUUUGAAACACAAUUGGCUUUUCAUUUUUCUUACGAAUGGAAAGAUGGUAAAGUAUUUUGACAAAUACCAAAACUCUUCUCACAUAUUCACUGUGUGACUCUGUUAUGUGAUUUACAGUUUUAAUUUGGGCACAAUAAUAAAGUUCAAUAAAGCAAAAUCACAAUCUGUGGAAGCGCAAACCACUAAAUAUGCUCUCCUCUGAGAAUUUGCUCAGUAGAUGAUUUAUUUUUAUUUUCUAUUUGCAUAUUUCCGGUGAAUAACUAUUUCUCUUUUCAAAUACUAAAUGUCUUAUAAACAUUUCUUUUUUCUCUUUUUAUAAAACAGAAGACAAAACCCUUUUGGCCACCUACAGAUACAGUCAUUCUGUCAGACCGGUCGGCUGGAGACGGGAGUUGAGCUUGUGGAGAGCAUGGUCUCACAGAUGCGGAAGUGAUAGCGUCGGUGAAACGCCAGCUCUCGGUUUAAUCUAGGAA